This 467-nucleotide ribosomal RNA is filed under the name uncultured bacterium. Its description in RNAcentral is "partial 16S ribosomal RNA". It matches the Rfam family "Bacterial small subunit ribosomal RNA", at positions 28 to 506 of the family's 1533-position model. The record is from RNAcentral.
GACGAACGCUGGCGGCGUGCUUAACACAUGCAAGUCGAACGGAAAGGCCCUGCUUUUGUGGGGUGCUCGAGUGGCGAACGGGUGAGUAACACGUGUGUAACCUGCCCUUGACUUUGGGAUAACUUCAGGAAACUGGGGCUAAUACCGGAUAGGAUCUCCUGCUGCAUGGUGGGGGUUGGAAAGUUUCGGCGUUUGGGGAUGGACUCGCGGCUUAUCAGCUUGUUGGUGGGGUAGUGGCUUACCAAGGAUUUGACGGGUAGCCGGCCUGAGAGGGUGACCGGCCACAUGGGGACUGAGAUACGGCACAGACUGAUACGGGAGGAAGGAGUGGGGAAUAUUGCAAAAUGGGCGGAAGCCUGAUGCAGAAACGCCGCGUGCGGGAUGACGGCCUUCGGGUAGUAAAACGCUUUCGCAUGUGACGAAGCGUGAGUGACGGUAAUGGGUAAAGAAGCACCGGCUAACUACGU